This 497-nucleotide ribosomal RNA is filed under the name uncultured bacterium. Its description in RNAcentral is "partial 16S ribosomal RNA". It matches the Rfam family "Bacterial small subunit ribosomal RNA", at positions 28 to 507 of the family's 1533-position model. The record is from RNAcentral.
GAUGAACGCUGGCGGCGUGCCUAAUACAUGCAAGUCGAGCGAACGGACGAGAAGCUUGCCUCUCUGAUGUUGGCGGCGGACGGGGGAGUAACACGUGGAUAACCUACCUAUAAGACUGGGAUAACUUCGGGAAACCGUAUCUAAUACCGGAUAAUAUUUUGAAUCGCAUGGUUCAAAAGUGAAAGACGGUCUUGCUAUCACUUAUAGAUGGAUCUGCACUCGAUUACCUAGUGCGUAAUGUAACGGCUUCCCAAGGCAACGAUGCAUAUCCGACCUGAGAGGGUGAUCCGCCACACUAGAACUGAGGAACGGUCCAGACUCCUACAGGGAGCAACAGUAGGGAAUCUUCCGGGAUGGGCGAAAGCGUGACAGAGCACAGCCGCGUGAGUGAUGAAGGUCUUCGGAUCGUAAAACUCUGUUAUUAGGGAGGAACAUAUGUGUAAGUAACUGUGCACAUCUUGACGGUACCUAAUCAGAAAGCCACGGCUAACUACGUG